This 91-nucleotide ribosomal RNA is filed under the name Vibrio parahaemolyticus. RNAcentral's name for it is "partial 16S ribosomal RNA". It matches the Rfam family "Bacterial small subunit ribosomal RNA", at positions 1 to 91 of the family's 1533-position model. Lineage: Bacteria; Pseudomonadati; Pseudomonadota; Gammaproteobacteria; Vibrionales; Vibrionaceae. The record is from RNAcentral.
AAAUUGAAGAGUUUGAUCAUGGCUCAGAUUGAACGCUGGCGGCAGGCCUAACACAUGCAAGUCGAGCGGAAACGAGUUAUCAGAACCUUCG